GAGCUGCUAGGCAGGGAUGAGUAGGUCAGCGGUUUGACCCAGAGUGACCUGGGGCCAUCUGCAUCAGGUUGCCCAGGUUCCACCCCAGAAUGACCGCAUCAGCAUUCUGGGGCAUUGGUGGGGAAUCAGUGACCUGCAUGUGAAACAAACUUGCCUGGUGACUGUCACUGUGCUGCUGUUUGAAAGCUGCUGACGGAAAUCCUCAGCAUUAACUUGUGUUCUGCCCUUGUUCAGCCACAGGCUUCAUCCUGAAUGAGCUUCCUUGGCCCUAAUUGCUUUGUGUUUGUGCUUCUAAUACUAACAGGCUCUGACAAGAAGUGCAGAGAAGAUCUGGAUGUUGCAGAAUUGAACUGCAAAGGGGACAGUGCAGUGAGGUGGCGCUGACGCAGCUGUGCCUUGGUCAUCCUCUCUGUUCUCCCAAACUGCCUCCUGGUGAUGAAAUCAGAGCAACAAACUCGUUUUCCAUCAUCAGCUUCCCACGUGGCUUUCCUCUGGUAGAGUUUAAGUGCCUCCCCUCUGCAUUUCUUGAAGGACAAUGUGAAGAAUCACAGACGUUAACUGUUUUCACACAUGAAAGAUGUGAGACUGAAUUGUGAAAUGAAAUAAGUCAGACAUUUAAGCUCAAAUAUUGCACGGUUUCUUAUAUAAAACACCCAAAAUAUAAAUUAAGAACAAAAUAAAAGAGAGAUAGGAAGUAAAGAGAUAUAUUUUUUUUUCAAAUGGGAAGAGGAUCAAGAGUUGAAGGGAAGGGGAGGGAGAAGAGGAAAAGAGGAU
Molecule: long non-coding RNA, 774 nt
Filed under: Fukomys damarensis (Damara mole-rat)
Lineage: Eukaryota; Metazoa; Chordata; Mammalia; Rodentia; Bathyergidae
Description: lncRNA (ENSFDAG00000032338.1)
Source: RNAcentral